Molecule: long non-coding RNA, 238 nt
Filed under: Musa acuminata (dwarf banana)
Lineage: Eukaryota; Viridiplantae; Streptophyta; Magnoliopsida; Zingiberales; Musaceae
Description: long non-coding RNA (MACU_LNC010253)
Source: RNAcentral
GAUCGGUUGUUGUUUGAGAAGGCCUCCAACUUUCAUCGUUUGCGGAUUUGAGUAGCCAGCUAGUGCGUGUACCGUAAUGUCGGUCGGCUGUGGCUCUUCUUCCAUAUCUUCUUCUUCAUGUUCAUGGCUCUCUUCUAGAUGUUCAAUGACCUCUUCUUCUACUGGUUCAAUCAUAAGAAGUCUACCUUUUUUACAGCGAUGCUCGCGGCUCCACGGCUCGUCGCAAUGCCAAUAUAAC